GUCUUAGUCUAAAGAAGAACUCAGCAGGAGCACAGUCUGGCCUAAGUAAAUCCCCCCCAUGCAGCUUUGAUGUAUCUAAAAGCUAACUUUAGAGUUUGAGUAACUUAGGAAAGUUUUGCAUAGCCUCGGGGCUAAGCCCCCCCUGUCUUUCAAUCCUAGUGACGUC
Molecule: long non-coding RNA, 166 nt
Organism: Sander lucioperca (pikeperch)
Lineage: Eukaryota; Metazoa; Chordata; Actinopteri; Perciformes; Percidae
Exons: 3
Source: RefSeq, a predicted model, not a curated record